CCUACGGGGGGCUGCAGUGAGGAAUUUUGCGCAAUGGCCGCAAGGCUGACGCAGCAACGCCGCGUGGGUGAUGAAGGCCUUCGGGUCGUAAAGCCCUGUCAGGUGGGAAGAAAGGCCUGGAGAGGAAAGGUUUCAGGUUUGACGGUACCACCAGAGGAAGCACCGGCUAACUCCGUGCCAGCAGCCGCGGUAAUACGGAGGGUGCGAGCGUUAUUCGGAAUUACUGGGCGUAAAGCGCGUGUAGGCGGGGGGACAAGUCUGAUGUGAAAGCCCUGGGCUUAACCUGGGAAGCGCAUUGGAAACUGUUUUUCUUGAGUACUGGAGAGGAAGGGGGAAUUCCCGGUGUAGAGGUGAAAUUCGUAGAGAUCGGGAGGAAUACCAGUGGCGUAGGCGCCCUUCUGGACGGUAACUGACGCUGAGACGCGAAAGCGUGGGGAGCAAACAGGAUUAGAUACCCCUGUAGUC
This 465-nucleotide ribosomal RNA is filed under the name uncultured Syntrophobacter sp. RNAcentral describes it as "bacterial SSU rRNA". It matches the Rfam family "Bacterial small subunit ribosomal RNA", at positions 338 to 795 of the family's 1533-position model. The record is from RNAcentral. Lineage: Bacteria; Pseudomonadati; Thermodesulfobacteriota; Syntrophobacteria; Syntrophobacterales; Syntrophobacteraceae.